CCUACGGGCGGCAGCAGUGGGGGAUAUUGCACAAUGGGGGGAACCCUGAUGCAGCGACGCCGCGUGAGCGAUGAAGUAUUUCGGUAUGUAAAGCUCUAUCAGCAGGGAAGAAAAUGACGGUACCUGACUAAGAAGCCCCGGCUAACUACGUGCCAGCAGCCGCGGUAAUACGUAGGGGGCAAGCGUGAUCCGGAUUUACGGGGUGGAAAGGGAGCGUAGACGGCUGGGCAAGUCUGAAGUGAAAGGCAAGGGCCCAACCUUUGGAGUGCUUUGGAAACUGUGCAGGUAGAGUGUCGGAGAGGCAAGUGGAAUUCCAGGUGUAGCGGUGAAAUGCGUAGAUAUUAGGAGGAACACCAGUGGCGAAGGCGGCUUGCUGGACGAUGACUGACGUUGAGGCUCGAAAGCGUGGGGAGCAAACAGGAUUAGAUACCCUUGUAGUC
RNAcentral lists this ribosomal RNA (440 nucleotides) under uncultured bacterium. Its description in RNAcentral is "partial 16S ribosomal RNA". It matches the Rfam family "Bacterial small subunit ribosomal RNA", at positions 338 to 795 of the family's 1533-position model. The record is from RNAcentral.